This 503-nucleotide ribosomal RNA is filed under the name uncultured bacterium. RNAcentral's name for it is "bacterial SSU rRNA". It matches the Rfam family "Bacterial small subunit ribosomal RNA", at positions 29 to 526 of the family's 1533-position model. The record is from RNAcentral.
AACGAACGCUGGCGGCAGGCUUAACACAUGCAAGUCGAACGAUGAAGGAGAGAGCUUGCUCUUUUUGGAUUAGUGGCGAACGGGUGAGUAACACGUGAGUAAUCUGCCCCGGACUCUGGGAUAAGCGUUGGAAACGACGUCUAAUACCGGAUAUGAAGCGUGGAGGCAUCUUCUGCGUUUGGAAAGAUUUUUUGGUUUGGGAUGAGCUCGCGGCCUAUCAGCUUGUUGGUGAGGUAAUGGCUUACCAAGGCGACGACGGGUAGCCGGCCUGAGAGGGUGACCGGCCACACUGGGACUGAGACACGGCCCAGACUCCUACGGGAGGCAGCAGUGGGGAAUAUUGCACAAUGGGCGCAAGCCUGAUGCAGCAACGCCGCGUGAGGGAUGACGGCCUUCGGGUUGUAAACCUCUUUUAGUAGGGAAGAAGCGACUGAAUUUAUUCUGAGUGACGGUACCUGCAGAAAAAGCACCGGCUAACUACGUGCCAGCAGCCGCGGUAAAAC